AACGAACGCUGGCGGCAUGCCUAACACAUGCAAGUCGAACGAGACCUUCGGGUCUAGUGGCGCACGGGUGCGUAGCGCGUGGGAACCUGCCCUUAGGUUCGGAAUAACUCCCCGAAAGGGGUGCUAAUACCGGAUAAUGUCUUCGGACCAAAGAUUUAUCGCCUUUGGAUGGGCCCGCGUUGGAUUAGCUAGUUGGUAGGGUAAAAGCCUACCAAGGCGACGAUCCAUAGCUGGUCUGAGAGGAUGAUCAGCCACACUGGGACUGAGACACGGCCCAGACUCCUACGGGAGGCAGCAGUGGGGAAUAUUGGACAAUGGGCGAAAGCCUGAUCCAGCAAUGCCGCGUGAGUGAUGAAGGCCUUAGGGUUGUAAAGCUCUUUUAACCGGGAUGAUAAUGACAGUACCGGGAGAAUAAGCUCCGGCUAACUCCGUG
This 433-nucleotide ribosomal RNA is filed under the name uncultured bacterium. RNAcentral describes it as "partial 16S ribosomal RNA". It matches the Rfam family "Bacterial small subunit ribosomal RNA", at positions 29 to 507 of the family's 1533-position model. The record is from RNAcentral.